CCCUUCUCCUACGUUCAACCAAUUCUGCUUUUGAUUUCAUCACUACCGUUGUGAUGAAACCCUAAAUCUCAUCUCUGGGCAUGUUUGAGAUUCCUUUUCCACUUCUCCUUCUUCAAAAGUCCUUUUCAAAACAAUAAGUAAGAAAUUCUUACUUCUCCAUUUUGACUUAUUGAAGGCAUACUUGAAGCUAGAAGAACUUAUUUUAUGGUGUUUGGCCUUUUCUCUUCAAAAGAACUUCUCAGUGCAUGUUUGGAAUUCAUUCUCCUUCUCAAAAGGAAUUUUGGGGCUAAAAGGACUUUUGAAAAGGAAUCCCAAACACCCACUCUCUUCGAUAAAAAAUAACCUGCUACCAACCUUGAGAACGCCUACAUUUGAAGAAAACCCCAAUUCUGUAUUCGAUUUCAUUAUUACCCUUGUGAUGAAACCCUAAAUCUCAUCUCUCUUCGAUAAAAAAUAACCUGGAACAUUGCGGGGUAGUUAUGAAGAUAACAGAUUCAAGUCAGAGUCUAAGAAGCUUCCUCUUAAGUCCAUUGACUUUCUUGCAGGGUCGGCGCAAACCCAAUUAUUCUAAAGCUAGGGCUUUAGGCCCCCAAUCCAAUAGGGCCCCAUUUUAUAAAAAAAAAAAAAAAAUUAUUGAUGUAUUUUGAGCCCAAAGUCUAUGAGCGAUCGGUGAUCAAUAAAUCUGAGAGGCCAGAGGCGGAAGAAAAAACUAAGUUAGAACACAUCAGUUAUGGGGCGACCGAUGGUAUUCUGGAAUCUGGAUGAGCCAUUGAGCGAUCCGCGACUAAUGGUACUCAGCUAUGGUCCGACCAACGUCUUUCUUUUGAUUAAUUAAUGUUCUUGAACAAUGAAGAUGGUAUUCGGCUGAAGCCUAGGUAGUGAUUUGCUUCAGGCCCAAAAAAGGUCAGGCCAGCUCUCUUGGUAUUAUAGUUGGACCCAAAUUAGAAAAGAAACUCAAGUACACACAAGAAAUUUGAUCCGGUUAAUAUUAGUAAAAGAGCUUGUAAAUGCAAUUGCCAACGUACUUGCCUUUUGUUACUUUCCAUUUUUCACAAUUGGCCACCAAUUGCAACACAAUUGUAUGGGAUUUUCAACAUUGAAGUUAUCAAACAGUUGUUUCUCUUCUACUUUCUUUUUAAGUAAAGGUGGCAAAAUGGUGGGUUGAGUAGCAGGUCAAAACGAUUCAGGUUGAAACGUGUCAUGUUUUAGCACGUGUACAAACCACAUUGGUUGGGUUGACACACAAACACUUCCGGUACAUUUCUUAAUUUUUUUAGAAAAAAGUUUGUGUUAAGUAGGUUAUAAAAACCGUAAUAACAAUUAAAUAAAUCUAUGAAUAAAACAAUUUAGGAGGUUUCAUACGUUAGAAAUAACUCUUGGACGACUUUCAACCUAAUUAACUCCUUUUUUUAUUUUGACCUGGUUGAGAUAACACACAAUCUGAAUCGACCCUUUUAUUCAGAACAUCGAUUUACAAAAGAUGUUAGUUCAGACCCGUGUAUCACACGGGUAACUAACCUAGUCUAGUCAAUACAACUGUAAUGGGUAAAGUUUGAAACAACAACAUCUAGUGAAACCGGUGGCUACCACGAAAGCUAUGUAAUGAUCUUUGCUUAAUACACAACACAUUUAUUCCUUA
Helianthus annuus (common sunflower) is the source of this 1639-nucleotide long non-coding RNA. RefSeq lists it as uncharacterized. The transcript has 3 exons. The record is from RefSeq and is a predicted model, not a curated record. Lineage: Eukaryota; Viridiplantae; Streptophyta; Magnoliopsida; Asterales; Asteraceae.